GAGCGCCCGUAGCAAUACGGCAGCGGCAGACGGGAGAGUAACACGUGGGAACGCGCCUUUCGGUUCGGAAUAACUCAGGGAAACUUGAGCUAAUACCGGAUACGCCCUUACGGGGAAAGAUUUAUUGCCGAAGGAACGGCCCGCGUCGGAUUAGCUAGUUGGUGAGGUAAUGGCUCACCAAGGCGACGAUCCGUAGCUGGUCUGAGAGGAUGACCAGCCUCACUGGGACUGAGACACGGCCCAGACUCCUACGGGAGGCAGCAGUGGGGAAUAUUGGACAAUGGGCGCAAGCCUGAUCCAGCCAUGCCGCGUGGAUGAUGAAGGCCUUAGGGUUGUAAAGUCCUUUUAA
This 349-nucleotide ribosomal RNA is filed under the name uncultured Alphaproteobacteria bacterium. RNAcentral describes it as "bacterial SSU rRNA". It matches the Rfam family "Bacterial small subunit ribosomal RNA", at positions 64 to 439 of the family's 1533-position model. The record is from RNAcentral. Lineage: Bacteria; Pseudomonadati; Pseudomonadota; Alphaproteobacteria.